UAGGAAAAUCUGAACCCCAAUAUGCCAUCUCUUUAUGCUUCUAAUCCUCAACAAAAUGCACAAGGAGUGAUAUUUGAUUAGCAUGUUCAAAGAGUGGAUACUCCAAGCUCAAAUGGUGUAGCAUUUUAUGGUUAUAAUCCCCAAAGAAAUGUGCAAGGAUUGGGGCAAUUACAUAUAAUGGAGCAACCUCAUCCAGGUUAUACUAUCAAUCAACAAAGUAUGCAAAGGAUGAAUUUUGGAACUUUUCAGUACAGAUAAAAA
Tripterygium wilfordii is the source of this 261-nucleotide long non-coding RNA. RefSeq lists it as uncharacterized. NCBI's taxonomy places the organism in Eukaryota, Viridiplantae, Streptophyta, Magnoliopsida, Celastrales, Celastraceae. The transcript has 3 exons. The record is from RefSeq and is a predicted model, not a curated record.